AGGGGGAAGAAGGACCAACAGGGAUUGCCCCAGUAACGGCGAGUGAAGCGGCAACAGCUCAAAUUUGAAAUCUGGCCCCAGGCCCGAGUUGUAAUUUGCAGAGGAUGCUUUUGGCGACGCGCCUUCCGAGUUCCCUGGAACGGGACGCCAUAGAGGGUGAGAGCCCCGUCUGGUUGGAUGCCGAGCCUCUGUAAAGCUCCUUCGACGAGUCGAGUAGUUUGGGAAUGCUGCUCUAAAUGGGAGGUAUAUGUCUUCUAAAGCUAAAUACCGGCCAGAGACCGAUAGCGCACAAGUAGAGUGAUCGAAAGAUGAAAAGCACUUUGAAAAGAGGGUUAAAUAGUACGUGAAAUUGUUGAAAGGGAAGCGCUUAUGACCAGACGUGGGCUCGGCGGAUCAUCCGGCGUUCUCGCCGGUGCACUUCGCCGGGUCCAGGCCAGCAUCGGUUCGCCGCGGGGGAGAAAGGCGUCGGGAACGUGGCUCCCUCGGGAGUGUUAUAGCCCGUCGCACAAUACCCUGGGGCGGACCGAGGUUCGCGCAUCUGCAAGGAUGCUGGCGUAAUGGUCAUCAGCGACCCGUCUUGAAACACGGACCAAGGAGUCGUCUUCGUAUGCGAGUGUUCGGGUGUCAAACCCCUACGCGUAAUGAAAGUGAACGCAGGUGAGAGCUUCGGCGCAUCAUCGACCGAUCCUGAUGUUCUCGGAUGGAUUUGAGUAAGAGCAUACGGGGCCGGACCCGAAAGAAGGUGAACUAUGCCUGUGUAGGGUGAAGCCAGAGGAAACUCUGGUGGAGGCUCGCAGCGGUUCUGACGUGCAAAUCGAUCGUCAAACAUGGGCAUGGGGGCGAAAGACUAAUCGAACCUUCUAGUAGCUGGUUUCCGCCGAGGUUCCUCCUCCCGGAAAGGAAAAC
Molecule: ribosomal RNA, 906 nt
Filed under: Hypocreales sp.
Lineage: Eukaryota; Fungi; Ascomycota; Sordariomycetes; Hypocreales
Also listed under: 1 other name
Description: partial large subunit ribosomal RNA
Rfam family: Eukaryotic large subunit ribosomal RNA
Source: RNAcentral